CCGGACUGCCAUCGGAAUGUAUAUAAGCCAUGUGAGUCAUUGUAGCAAUACAAGGCAGACGGCUCAGUAACACGUAGUCAAUCUACCCUAUUGACGGGGAUAACCUCGGGAAACUGAGAAUAAUACCCGAUAGGCCAUUAUGCCUGGAAUGGUUUAUGGCUGAAAUGAUUUAUCGCAAUAGGAUGGGACUGCGGCCUAUCAGUUUGUUGGUGAGGUAAUGGCCCACCAAGGCUAUUACAGGUACGGGCUCUGAGAGGAGAAGCCCGGAGAUGGGUACUGAGACACGGACCCAGGCCCUAUGGGGCGCAGCAGGCGAGAAAACUUUGCAAUGUGCGAAAGCACGACAAGGUUAAUCCGAGUGGUUUCUGCUAAAGGAACCUUUUGUCGGUCCUAGAAACACCGAUGAAUAAGGGGUGGGCAAGUUCUGGUGUCAGCCGCCGCGGUAAAACCAGCACCUCAAGUUGUCAGGAUGAUUAUUGGGCCUAAAGCAUCCGUAGCCGGCUCUGUUAGUUUUCGGUUAAAUCUGUACGCUUAACGUACAGGCUGCCGGGAAUACUGCAGAGCUAGGGAGUGGGAGAGGUAGACGGUACUCGGUAGGAAGGGGUAAAAUCCUUUGAUCUAUUGAUGACCACCUGUGGCGAAGGCGGUCUACCAGAACACGUCCGACGGUGAGGGAUGAAAGCUGGGGGAGCAAACCGGAUUAGAUACCCGGGUAGUCCCAGCUGUAAACUAUGCAAACUCAGUGAUGCAUUGGCUUGUGGCCAAUGCAGUGCUGCAGGGAAGCCGUUAAGUUUGCCGCCUGGGAAGUACGUACGCAAGUAUGAAACUUAAAGGAAUUGGCGGGGGAGCACCACAAGGGGUGAAGCCUGCGGUUC
Molecule: ribosomal RNA, 875 nt
Filed under: uncultured archaeon
Lineage: Archaea
Description: bacterial SSU rRNA
Rfam family: Archaeal small subunit ribosomal RNA
Source: RNAcentral